Molecule: long non-coding RNA, 4200 nt
Filed under: Nicotiana tabacum (common tobacco)
Lineage: Eukaryota; Viridiplantae; Streptophyta; Magnoliopsida; Solanales; Solanaceae
Description: long non-coding RNA (NTAB_LNC002831)
Source: RNAcentral
UCCAUUUUCUGCAACUCCUCACCAAGAGCCCGACUACCAGGGUUUGUAUUCAGCCGCUCAUGCCUUUUGCGAUACUUGUUGCGGUAGCGACGAUAUUUCUCCAACAUCUUCAAGAAAAUCUUGGCCCGAAUGUUGGCCCUACGAAUGCUCUCCAUUUCCACCAUAUACGUCUGAAAAAUAAAAAGAUAGGUUAGAAUCCUAUCAUCAAGGAAAAGCGAAAGUAAGCAUAACAUACCCUUAAGCCCAUAGCGGCCACCUCGUCCAUCAAUUCAGCAUCGAGAAUGGUCCGAAGGGUCACAUUCUCAGAUACGGAGCAUAGCAUGCUGAACUGCGGCACUAGGUCCUCCGUGUCCCCAGGAGAUUGACAUCCGAAGGGAUCUCAAGAAUACGGGCCGAGCCUCCCACACGAACUAACGAGUGAGUAAGACCCUCCUCAAACAUCCUGACAUCAUCAGGGUCGAGGUCCGAUUCGGAUUCAUAGUCGUCGACCACCAUGGCGUUUCCUCUUUCAACAGCCGAAGAGGAAGCAUGACCAACUAUGGAGGACGUGGGUACGUCCGAAACUACAACGGUAGCCCCGAAAAUCUAACCUUCCACCACGAUAGGUUGCUGACCACCAACAACGUUGGGAAUCUCUGGUUGAGCCGAGGCGAUAACCGGUUCCGUCCCUAUGGGGGGAGCCACAAAAACCCCCUCUCCAGACCCUGUCAAAGGAGAGUCAUCUAGAUGAAUCACUGUUGGGGGUGUUGUCUCGAACUCCACUCGCCGUCUUUUUGAUGGCCACUCUUCUUCCCUAGUAGGCAAAGAUUCACCCGUCAGGCGAACAACAUGGGUUGGAACAUCGGCCUGAGAAGCGGCCCUCGCAGAGUAACCACGGACGCAGACUCAACUGAAGCAGCCCUCGACGAAGGUCGGGCAGUGGGUACCGCGAUAGGGCGAGCAGAUAAGGCUGGCUGCCGGAAAGCUAACGGAGGAGCCCUCACUCUCCGUACCCUCCCUGACACCGACAAACAUCAUGUGAGGAAUUAAAUACAAAGAUAAAAAGAGAAAAACAGUGAACAGAAAUGACAUCUUACCAGAAAGAGGCCUGUGCCCAUACUUGUCAUAGAAAGUCGCCCACAUGCGGACCCCUGCUGUAUGAGGGAGAAUAGCACUUACCCACUCGCGGAUAUUUUCGACAGGUGGAGGGGGCAAUUUCUCAGUUGCAAAAACAUAACAGGGUUUAGUACUAUAACGGAAAAUGGUCGGAUAUAUCUUCGACUAAAAGCAUGAGAAGUUCCACUUCUCAGGGAACCCCGUCGGAUCCACCACAAUGUGUUCAGUCUGCACAUAGAAAUAAUUCUCAUAAAAACGAUGGUUAGUUCUAUCAUACAUCUUCACCAUCAGACUCUUCGACCGUCGAGGACACAUGUGAAGCAUCAUGUCGCGGAUAAGCUGAGGAGCGAAGAUACUAAGCAGGUGGUAUAAGGUGAUCUCACGACCGGCGAGUUCCGCAAACUUGAGCAACAUAAGGAACAUCUUGUAUAGGUACGACGAAAGUUGGGCGGAGCAUACCUCAUAAAAGCGGUAGAAGUUUACCACUAGGAGAGGGAGAGGAAGUGUGUAUCCAAUAAGGAAGGGGUAAGCAUAAAAUACACAGUACCUACAACAGUCAAAGUGAACUAUGUCGUUUCCUUCCACCGGCCGCAUGUCGACAUAACCCGGGAUCCUCCACCUGGUUUUCAACUCUACAAUGCCUUCUUCUCUCAUAACAGAAGGAACAGGCUCCGGCUCCGCCCCGGCGCGACUGCUGAAGUCGGUCAAUUCUCUCCCAGUGCAAGGAAAAAUCUCAACUAUCAACAAGACCUCCUCGUCUUCCACUGCAUCUGCCCCUCCAGUGACCUGAGCAGCACUUUCCGGUGCUGGAAUCGUGACGGGGAGAUCGGUGCGAGAGGAAUCACCAGCCAUUUUGUCCAGAAGAUACGGCAAAAAGACAACGGAAAGAAAGGAUGAAAAUCCUCAGUUAACAAAAGGGCAAACGAAAACUUGGAAUGUCAGGAAGAAAGUAUAUUUGCAGAAUUCUUUCGCGUAAAAGGAAAAAAGUGUGUCAAUCGAAUGAUAAGUUCUUUCUAUUUAUAAGAGACAUAGAUCCCUCGAGCACGAAACCUAAGAGUCGCCAAUUGAACCUGAUAGGGCACGAAACGUUUCAGUUCCCCAGGGACGUGUGUCAUGAUGGCGGUAACCACAAAAUAAGGCUUCGAUACCAAACGACGUUUUGGUUCCGAAACAGCCGCAACGGUUCAUGGGUAUCAAGAGAACGCCGCCACCUCGCCUAAAACCCAAGUAAUGUAACUAAGGAACGAGAAGUCAGAUUUUGCUCAAACUCAUAGCAAUCAUGAUCCGUUUGCCGGGCCCGACAGAGGACGACCCCAAUAUCAUACCCUUUUUUACAAACUUCACUUAACUCUUUUAAAAUUAAUAAAAGUGAUUCGUAAAGCUUGAAAAGGAUUUUCUAAUUAGAACAUGACAAAAAUUGUGUUCAAAAGGAAAUAACUCAGAGUCGCCACCUGACAUUGAUUUCGGUGUGUCAGGUCAUCAUUUUUUUUAAAAAUGAUUUUUCCUUUAAGACACUUUGGACUCCAAAACUAAAUUCGCACCAGAGAUUUGGGUAAGGGGGUUUAUUUGACUCGGGGAGAAGGUGUUAGGCACUCCCCAAGUCUGUGAAAGUCACGGUUUCAUACUCGAUCUAGUUGGCUUUUAAAAUAUUUAAGUUGAGGUAAAAUAAAAACAGAAAAGAAAAAUAAACACGUAAGAUGCUCGAGGUCGUCCCCCUCCUAAUAAAAGAAAGAUAAAAAUAAAAUGAAAUAAGAAUAAAAGUACCACGAGUUCGCUUUCCGCCUCCAAUUAUAGAAUACUAAGGGGCAUUCCCCAGAAUAAAAAAUAUACAAAUCCUUCGGGGCAUUCCCAGGAUAAAUUUAACUAAGGGAAUGACCUCUUGCCUCAAAAUUAAACAAACAAAAUCCUAGAGUUUGCCUACCUAAACAUUAACGGCCUAAACAUGCUCCUAGCAAUUAAAAGCAACAAAGCAAGAUAAAGAACUAAGAAAAUCGAUCCAAGCUCAAAUUUUUGUAAUUCCCUUUCCAGCUCGUCCAGUACGCCUUUAUAAAGUCCAUGUUUCUAUUAAACCAACCCCUUGACCAAAUUCAAUUUUUUGUCCCGUUUAUCAAAUUGUGACUUAUUUGCCUUAAUAUUCCUAAUGCACUUCAAGUUUAACCCAAUUAAUUCAAAUUGAUCCAACACAAAAUUAACGAUAAUGCAAAAAACUACAGUGAAUCAAGGAAGCAAAAAAACACAAAACAAGACAUGAAACAUUCCAAAAACCACAAGCAAAAUAAUGAAAAAGAUCAAAGCACAUAUCAGAUGAGAGAAAAUUGAACCUCAUUGAUUGAUUUCUUUGUAUUAAACGUGACCUUGGUCGCAACAAACUCUGACAAACCAAAUUUGGCCGAAAAGCGCAAUAGUAGCAGGAGCUCGGACCGCGAAUUCCUUUGACAGACCUCUUCGACUCAAACUCAGGAUCCUGAGCAGCUAUGUUGGCGCUGAGAAUACUCUAAUCACUAGUUAUAAAAUUAGCUAAAAUUGGCUAUAACCUUUUGACCACUUAAAAUUCAGCAGACUCCCAUAAAUUUUUAAUAGAAGACAAAACCCUCUUGGCUCUUGUUUGAGAACUAGGUGAAGAAGUGAGAAAAGCAAUAGCCACAAAAAUAGUAAGUAAAAAGAGACGUUUGGCUAGCUUCUCUAUCUCUCUCGUCUGGAUGUGCACAAAUCCGGCGUCGCUACCGCAACGAGUAACACCAGAAUAGCGCUAAUGGGAAGCAAAGAUCAAAGGGUUGCCAAAGUAGGCAUGUCCGGCCAGAUCUAGUUUCGUCCUGUGUGUGUGUGUGUGUUUGAGAAUGAGGGGAGAUCACAACUGUUGGGAGUGGGUAGAGACGGGGUUGUCGUUGGCGGCUGUAUAUUCUGGAGAAGAUGACUGUGUGUGGCGGGUUAGAGGCUGGUGGCGGAGAGGUCUAACGAUGGUUCUCUUUUUAAAAUGGGGUGGUGGAAUUGGUCGGCGGUGUGGAGCUGGGUAGUGUCCAGGCUGCUGAUGGCUUGGAGAUGUGAAGAAGGUGGGAGAUUAGGGAGGGACAGCUGGUUUCUCGUUAGGGCUUUCUAGGGUUUUUU